RNAcentral lists this small RNA (177 nucleotides) under Roseovarius pacificus. Its description in RNAcentral is "caulobacter sRNA CC2171". Lineage: Bacteria; Pseudomonadati; Pseudomonadota; Alphaproteobacteria; Rhodobacterales; Roseobacteraceae. The record is from RNAcentral.
CAACAAAUGAAAGGAGGUGGUCCAGUGUCUAUAAAGGGAUUGGAGAGAGGUGCCGGAACAGUUCGGAGGGAUCGCGCCUAGAGCAGCCUCUGGGACAGAAUUUACCCGAAUUGGUGCGGCCUAACCGGCCCCACCUCCGCAAACCUUUAGGGGGCCGUUCCGGGAUCGGGACGGCCC